GAUGAACGCUGGCGGCGUGCCUAAUACAUGCAAGUCGAGCGAACGGACGAGAAGCUUGCUUCUCUGAUGUUAGCGGCGGACGGGUUAGUAACACGUGGAUAACCUACCUAUAAGACUGGGAUAACUUCGGGAAACCGGAGCUAAUACCGGAUAAUAUUUUGAACCGCAUGGUUCAAAAGUGAAAGACGGUCUUGCUGUCACUUAUAGAUGGAUCCGCGCUGCAUUAGCUAGUUGGUAAGGUAACGGCUUACCAAGGCAACGAUGCAUAGCCGACCUGAGAGGGUGAUCGGCCACACUGGAACUGAGACACGGUCCAGACUCCUACGGGAGGCAGCAGUAGGGAAUCUUCCGCAAUGGGCGAAAGCCUGACGGAGCAACGCCGCGUGAGUGAUGAAGGUCUUCGGAUCGUAAAACUCUGUUAUAAGGGAAGAACAUAUGUGUAAGUAACUGUGCACAUCUUGACGGUACCUAAUCAGAAAGCCACGGCUAACUACGUG
This 497-nucleotide ribosomal RNA is filed under the name uncultured bacterium. RNAcentral describes it as "partial 16S ribosomal RNA". It matches the Rfam family "Bacterial small subunit ribosomal RNA", at positions 28 to 507 of the family's 1533-position model. The record is from RNAcentral.